Molecule: ribosomal RNA, 330 nt
Filed under: uncultured eukaryote
Lineage: Eukaryota
Description: partial 18S ribosomal RNA
Rfam family: Eukaryotic small subunit ribosomal RNA
Source: RNAcentral
CCCUUAGAUGUUCUGGGCCGCACGCGCGCUACACUGAUGCAUUCAACGAGUCUAAAACCUGGUCUGAUAGGGCUGGGUAAUCUUUUGAAUGUGCAUCGUGAUUGGGAUAGAUGAUUGCAAUUCUUCAUCUUCAACGAGGAAUGCCUAGUAAACGCAAGUCAUCAGCUUGCAUUGAUUACGUCCCUGCCCUUUGUACACACCGCCCGUCGCCCCUACCGAUUGAAUGUUCCGAUGAAUACCAUGGACUGAGAGUAUGAAUGGGUUCGCCUAUUUCUGCUUCUCGGGAAGUGGAGUAAAUCUUAACAUUUAGAGGAAGGAGAAGUCGUAACA